Non-coding RNA from Pelobates cultripes (western spadefoot toad), 428 nucleotides. The record is from the annotation of a GenBank genome assembly. NCBI's taxonomy places the organism in Eukaryota, Metazoa, Chordata, Amphibia, Anura, Pelobatidae.
CCACAAUUUACACAAGCCUAUUCUGGCAGAAAUACAAGCCACUAAUAUCCCCAACAUUUCGGCACCUCCUGGCUGCCUUUCUUAAGGGUGUUUGUAUCAUGGCUUACCAAUAUCCCACAUCCAGCUCAUGGCCAUCAGCAACCAAUCUGAUCCGACCACAGAAGUGACAUCAUCGUAUCGGUCAGUGCUAACAUAAGAUGCGCAAGCGUGUGACCAUUCAGGACAAUUAUGUGGAUGUAUUGCUAUUUACUGAUCAUCUAUUUACAUAUUGCGGCGCAGGCGUGGAAUACGUGCUAGCAUAGCCCAUUUCAUCUGUGGGCAGUUUCCAGGAUGAGUAAUGGCAGCAUAUAACAUACUAGGACGGAUGCGCAUGCGCAUAUGCGCAUGCGUUUUACAUUUGGAACAUAUACAGGACUUUUUUAAACCUG